AGUGAAAGUAGGUUGAACUAUCCAAGAACUUAACGUACUGAGUGCUUUCCACUUUUGUCGGCAUCAGCUAAUUUUCCUUUGAUCCAUGAAGGAAAUUCUAGAAUUGCUUGUAUUUCCGCUUUUUUCUGGAUAAACAGCAUUCGCUGUAGCUGUUCACGAACAACGGGCUCCUUUUGGAAGCCUUCAAAUUGUAAUAAUGUUGUAAUCAUUUUAAUAUCCCUUUUAUUCAAUUUUAAAGAGAAUUCUUGGUUUUUAUUAAAAAUGUCCUCAUACAGAGGGCCUAAAAGCUGUAAAUUUCGUAAUUGACUGUGCGGUUCAUGACUGUAGGCAUUAGAACCGUACUUGAAACAGGAAUAAAUGCAUAAGCCAUGGGGGUCCCAAUCAAAAAUACCAAAAAAUUUAGCAUCCGGGAGGGCUUUGGCUAAUUUAACUAAAAAUUUUCUCGUCAUCAAAUCUGGAAAUCCUUUAGCCUGUUACAAGCAAUUAGUUAGCUAGCACUCUAACAUCAAUAUCAUUGAAAAGGAAGCAUUCUCACUUACUGUAACAAUUAUUGUAUCCGCUAAAGCCUCUUCGGUUAGCGUUUGGAAUACCGCUUCCUUUUCGAUGACCAAGACCCAUUUUGCUGUGGAAGUGAUUGAUGAAAUUCGAUGGUGAGAGAUUAAUAAUGGCUGUAUUUAGUAAAAUUCUUAGUUAGAAAAAACAAUUUUUACGGUUAUUAAAACUUGAACCUACUUUAGUAGCAGUAAUUACUGUCCCGUUUUCAAGAGCAAUAUGAAUGGACCCAAAUACCAAUCCUUUAGCAGAUGCUUCCUAAGAUCAAAUUAAUCGUUAAUGAAUCUAUUUCCAAAGAAAUGACUUACAACGUUAAGGUCGGACCUGGAGCAACCAAUGGUGUUUGAAAUAUCUCCAAGCAGCUCAUCGACUACGGUUUGUCGCUUGAAUAAAUCUACAUCUCUGUAAUAAAUAUCUCUGCAAAUGUAAUUAGAACUUAAAUCUGAAUUUUCGGCGUAUAGUACAAAGCAAUUACCGCUUAGUGAUUACUGUAUCCGAAAUAACAGCUUCAUGAACACAAUCUAAAACCCUGAAUAGUUGAGCAAUUGUUGUUUCAUUCCUGGGGAAUGAAAAAACCUUAACUUUUUGUCUUUCAUUGGCCUUUGAAUCUAAGCUGCCAUUCCAAGAAUUGUGCUUUCGUCUUUUCAAAGCAACAUUUACUGAAUCUUUGGUAGGCUUACUUAAUUGCUCAACAAAAUCAUGAACAAAUUGCUCAAUCCAUGAUCUAACAACUUUUUUUUUAUCAUUCGAAUUCAUUUUUUUUACUUUCUGGACGCGUUCAGCAUUCUUUGCAUUGUCUAGAUAAUUAUGCAAAGCGCGUAUGGUUACAGUGUAAAAAAUCAAUAGCUUAAUUCAAAUAAGCUAUAUCUAAGCGAGAUUGUUUUCUGAAGAAAUGAUACAUACAUUCAAUAAAUGGGUAAUAUCAAGGCGAAACAGUAUAUGUGUUUUCGUUAACUGCUAAAAAAUACUUACUGAAGACUUUCCUUCUGAUAAAAUGGUGUAAGAGAAGACUCACGCGAGCUUUGCGGACUGAAUUGGUAAAUCGUAAAGAUGGAUCGAAAUUUGAAAUUCCUAAACAACUUAUGUUCUUGUCUACAGAAAAGUUGAAAGAAAAGUAAAUAUAUUUGAACUCUUUCGAGUUCAAAUGCAACAUACGACAACUAAGAGCCAUAGAUCAAGC
Non-coding RNA from Schizosaccharomyces pombe (fission yeast), 1732 nucleotides. The record is from the annotation of a GenBank genome assembly. Lineage: Eukaryota; Fungi; Ascomycota; Schizosaccharomycetes; Schizosaccharomycetales; Schizosaccharomycetaceae.